This 495-nucleotide ribosomal RNA is filed under the name uncultured bacterium. RNAcentral describes it as "partial 16S ribosomal RNA". It matches the Rfam family "Bacterial small subunit ribosomal RNA", at positions 28 to 507 of the family's 1533-position model. The record is from RNAcentral.
GACGAACGCUGGCGGCGUGCCUAAUACAUGCAAGUAGAACGCUGAAGGAGGAGCUUGCUUCUCUGGAUGAGUUGCGAACGGGUGAGUAACGCGUAGGUAACCUGCCUGGUAGCGGGGGAUAACUAUUGGAAACGAUAGCUAAUACCGCAUAAGAGUAGAUGUCGCAUGACAUUUGCUUAAAAGGUGCAAUUGCAUCACUACCAGAUGGACCUGCGUUGUAUUAGCUAGUUGGUGGGGUAACGGCUCACCAAGGCGACGAUACAUAGCCGACCUGAGAGGGUGAUCGGCCACACUGGGACUGAGACACGGCCCAGACUCCUACGGGAGGCAGCAGUAGGGAAUCUUCGGCAAUGGACGGAAGUCUGACCGAGCAACGCCGCGUGAGUGAAGAAGGGUUUCGGAUCGUAAAGCUCUGUUGUAAGAGAAGAACGAGUGUGAGAGUGGAAAGUUCACACUGUGACGGUAUCUUACCAGAAAGGGACGGCUAACUACGUG